UACGUAGGGUGCAAGCGUUAAUCGGAAUUACUGGGCGUAAAGCGUGCGCAGGCGGUUUUAUAAGUUUGUCGUGAAAGCCCCGGGCUCAACCUGGGAAUGGCGAUGAAGACUGUAAGGCUAGAGUGUGUCAGAGGGGGGUAGAAUUCCACGUGUAGCAGUGAAAUGCGUAGAUAUGUGGAGGAACACCGAUGGCGAAGGCAGCCCCCUGGGAUAACACUGACGCCCAUGCACGAAAGCGUGGGGAGCAAACAGG
Molecule: ribosomal RNA, 253 nt
Filed under: uncultured bacterium
Lineage: Bacteria
Description: partial 16S ribosomal RNA
Rfam family: Bacterial small subunit ribosomal RNA
Source: RNAcentral